GACGAACGCUGGCGGCGUGCUUAACACAUGCAAGUCGAGCGGUAAGGCCCUUUCGGGGGUACACGAGCGGCGAACGGGUGAGUAACACGUGGGUGACCUGCCCUCAGCUCUGGGAUAAGCCUGGGAAACUGGGUCUAAUACCGGAUAUGACCCCAUGACGCAUGUCGUGGGGUGGAAAGCCUUGUGCGGCUGAGGAUGGGCCCGCGGCCUAUCAGCUUGUUGGUGGGGUGAUGGCCUACCAAGGCGACGACGGGUAGCCGGCCUGAGAGGGCGACCGGCCACACUGGGACUGAGACACGGCCCAGACUCCUACGGGAGGCAGCAGUGGGGAAUCUUGCGCAAUGGGCGAAAGCCUGACGCAGCGAUGCCGCGUGAGGGAUGACGGCCU
Molecule: ribosomal RNA, 388 nt
Filed under: uncultured bacterium
Lineage: Bacteria
Description: bacterial SSU rRNA
Rfam family: Bacterial small subunit ribosomal RNA
Source: RNAcentral